AUCAAAAUCGUCGUUAGACGUGACUCGAAAUUAAAAAACAGUUUCAAUUCGGAACUUCGACUCGUCGAUAGUUUCGCGGUGCGACCAGUUUGAAAAUUAAGUUGUGAAGGAAAAAUGAAUGUUUGACAUUCGCCAAGGGGGCGGUACGGAUCGGAUCGGAUCCGAAACCCAUUAAUAAUUUUCCUUUCUCAUUUUUGCCUUAGAGGCGAUAGAUCGUGGUUGAUUGCACCUUGAGUAUUAUAUUUCUUUUUCAAUAGUGAAGUUUUCUUCUUUCUCGUUCGUGAUUUUUUUCCGCAAAAAAUUUUUCACGUAAAUCUGUGUGUUCUUUUUUAUUUCUGCUUGUGGUUUGUUUAUUUUGUGUUCGCCAUUUUCAUUUCUGUUUGUGCGUUUGUCGUAACAGUCGCAAGCACUAUUAAAUCAUCAAAAAAAAGAAAGAAAAAGA
This 442-nucleotide long non-coding RNA is filed under the name Ananas comosus (pineapple). RNAcentral describes it as "long non-coding RNA (ACOM_LNC037665)". Lineage: Eukaryota; Viridiplantae; Streptophyta; Magnoliopsida; Poales; Bromeliaceae. The record is from RNAcentral.